This 465-nucleotide ribosomal RNA is filed under the name uncultured bacterium. RNAcentral describes it as "partial 16S ribosomal RNA". It matches the Rfam family "Bacterial small subunit ribosomal RNA", at positions 28 to 507 of the family's 1533-position model. The record is from RNAcentral.
GACGAACGCUGGCGGCGUGCUUAACACAUGCAAGUCGAACGGAAAGGCCCUGCUUGCAGGGUACUCGAGUGGCGAACGGGUGAGUAACACGUGGGUGAUCUGCCCUGCACUUCGGGAUAAGCCUGGGAAACUGGGUCUAAUACCGGAUAGGAGCCAUUUUUAGUGUGAUGGUUGGAAAGUUUUUUCGGUGUAGGAUGAGCUCGCGGCCUAUCAGCUUGUUGGUGGGGUAAUGGCCUACCAAGGCGGCGGCGGGUAGCCGGCCUGAAAGGGUGGACGGCCACAUUGGGACUGAGAUACGGCCCAGACUCCUACGGGAGGCAGCAGUGGGGAAUUUUGCACAAUGGGCGCAAGCCUGAUGCAGCGACGCCGCGUGGGGGAUGACGGCCUUCGGGUUGUAAACUCCUUUCGCUAGGGACGAAGCUUUUUGUGACGGUACCUAGAUAAGAAGCACCGGCUAACUACGUG